RNAcentral lists this long non-coding RNA (399 nucleotides) under Bos taurus (domestic cattle). RNAcentral's name for it is "long non-coding RNA NONBTAT019828". Lineage: Eukaryota; Metazoa; Chordata; Mammalia; Artiodactyla; Bovidae. The record is from RNAcentral.
CUCCCCAGAAGAGUUUUCUGAGCUGUGAAGAAUAAGAGACAAUGCAGGGAAGAUUUUAAUCAUCCCUUGAUGAUAUGUGGAUAAAGACAUUUCUUCCUAAGAUUUCAAAGGCCCUCGUGAUAUUCAUUUAUUCUUACACCAGAAUGGGUGUGGGAAUUUUUUUUAAAGCAGUCUAUCUGUGAAGAAUACAGUAUUAUGAAUUUAGGGGAAAAAAUCAUUCUUUUUCUUUGGUUGGUAUUUGCUCACUUUAGAAUUUAUCACGUUUGCAGUAGGAGGAAGUGUAGCUUAUAAUGUAGAUUCAUAUGUAAACUUCAAAGCUAGGAGGAAAAAAAAAACUUGUUUCUCAGUAGUCUAACAGAUGGCCACACAGUGAAAUGGUCAUAAAAUCAUUCAAGCUUU